AGCUCCCUGGGCUCUACAGAAGUUUGUCUUUUAUCUAUCUUUAUACAUAGUAGUUAAUAUUUGUAAAUCUCAAAUUCCCAAUUUAUCUUUUAUCAUCUUUCUCCCCAUAACCAUAAGAUUGCUUACUAUGUCUGUGAGUCUGUUUCUGUUUUGUAGGUGAGUUCAUUAGUGUCUUCUUUUUUCUUUUUUUUAGAUUCCACAUAUGAGUAAUAUCAUAUGGUAUUUUUCUUUCUCUAUCUGGCUUGCUUCAUUUAGAAGGACAAUCUCCAGGUCCAUCCAUGUUGCUGCAAAUGGCAUUAUUUUAUUCUUUUUUUAUGGCUGAGUAGUAUUCCAUUGUAUAAAUACACCACAACUUUUUCACCCAGUCAUCUGUUGAUGGACAUUUAGGUUGCUUCCAUGUCUUGGCUAUUGUAAAUAGUGCUGCUGUGAACAUUGGGGUGCAGGUGUCUUUUUGAAUUAGAGUUCCCUCCGGAUAUAUGCCCAGGCGUGGGAUUGCUGGAUCAUAUGGUAAGUCCAUUUUUAGUUUGUUGGGGAAUCUCCAUACUGUUUUCCAUAAUGGCUGCACCAAACUGCAUUCCCACCAAUAGUGUAGGAGGGGGAACCACAUUUUUCUAUAUUUCACUUCUAUUAAAAUCAUUUAAAGGAGUCAUGCGACAGUUCUCUUCACAGCAUCUCUACUGUUUGUUGCAAAUUAGAUAAUUUGUAACUAUAAAGACUUAAGGUGAAAAAAGAUAUCAACUUGAAAUGUUGUAGGUUUUUUUCAAAGUUACUUUAGGGAAAUGCGAACAAAAAAUUUGAAGACAACUGAGCUAAAUAUGACUAAGAGGGUAUCUGGAAUUGCAGAAUUUUUUUAAGGUGAGUGAAAGUUUGGCCUGUUGGAAAGGAAGCAAGAACGAAGGGGAGGCUGCAGAUGUGAGAGGACCGCCUGAUCCUGAGAUCCCCGUGGGGUGGAAUGGAUGGCGUGUGUGGAGGGACCCAGGUGGGAUGGAGGAACAGGUGGGUGCAGGAAGGCUUGCGGUCUGGUAGUGAGAAAUGUUGGGAGUUCCUGGGCCCUGACGAAGCAGAAAGUGAGGGGAGGUGGUGGGGCCGAACGCUGGCGAGAAUGAAGGUUUGCAGAGCUGCCGUGGGUCCAGGGUGCCGACAGUAGUGUGCGUGUAGUGAGAUGGGACACCACUGAUGCUCUCUCACAGGCCUGGGUGUCCCUCUGGGCACUUAUCACAGCUGCACCUGCGCUUUUUUGAUGAUCUGAUUGACAUCUAUCUCCCUCAGCAAACUGGGAGCGGCAUGUGGGCCACUGUCUGUCUAGUCCCAGCACCCAGCCCAGUGUCCGGCUACCUGUUGAAGGGAGGGACGGCUGACAAGGUGUCGGUGUCAUCAGAGCACAGCCCUGUGAAAGCCACGAUGAGCCCUGGUGACUGUUUCCGAGAUGGCAGCUGCUUUGCAAAGCUUUCCGCUCUGCCCGGCUGCCUCCUGGGCCCUGCGCCGUUGGUUUGCCUCAUGUAACGCACCUGCAGCCGCCAGGGUGAGGAUCUCCUGCUGGGGGCUCCCCGCCGUCUCAGGCCGUGGCCCAGACUUCUCUGGGAGACACACGAGGACUCCGCAACAGGUGACCCUUCAGCAUCGGUGAAGCAGGAAGAAGUUCCCAGAGGUGCUCCUUCCCGGCUCCAGGCUGGUGCACACACACUGGCUCCCUCUCAGAACAGCCUUCCAGCCCACGCCCACCGUGAGCUGCCGCCAGAAGCCUCCUCCAGGAAGCCUUCUCUGAACACCCUUCUGCUCCCACGGUCGCUCUGGGCCCGGAGCUGUAGCUCCCUUGCUCACACGUCUGCCGAGGACAAGGGCCGAAGCGUCUCAUGGCUUCUGCCUUCCGCAGAUGCUCAGCGCUGAGCUUGCCGUAACGCAACACCAGACGGGUGGCUUAAUAACCGCAGAAACCCAUUCUCUCUCAGUCUGGGAUCGAGGUGUCGGCGGGGUGGGUCCCCUGCGGCCUCUCUCCUGGGCUUGCAGGCGGCCGCCCUCUUGUGUGACCGUCCUUCUGUGCACACGUGCCCCUGGGGUCGGUGUGUCCACAUUUCCUCCUCUCACACGGACACUCCCGUUAGAUUGGACUAGGGCCCACCCAACCGGCCUCACUCUAUUGAAAUCACCUCUUUAAAGGGCUUAUCUCCAAUACAGCCACAUUCUGAGGUGCUGGGA
This is a long non-coding RNA of Camelus dromedarius (Arabian camel), 2196 nucleotides long. RefSeq lists it as uncharacterized. NCBI's taxonomy places the organism in Eukaryota, Metazoa, Chordata, Mammalia, Artiodactyla, Camelidae. The transcript has 2 exons. The record is from RefSeq and is a predicted model, not a curated record.